ACGUAGGGAGCGAGCGUUGUCCGGAAUUACUGGGUGUAAAGGGAGCGUAGGCGGGAUCUUAAGUCAGGUGUGAAAACUAUGGGCUCAACCCAUAGACUGCACUUGAAACUGAGGUUCUUGAGUGAAGUAGAGGCAGGCGGAAUUCCUAGUGUAGCGGUGAAAUGCGUAGAUAUUAGGAGGAACAUCAGUGGCGAAGGCGGCCUGCUGGGCUUUUACUGACGCUGAGGCUCGAAAGCGUGGGGAGCAAACAG
RNAcentral lists this ribosomal RNA (251 nucleotides) under uncultured bacterium. Its description in RNAcentral is "partial 16S ribosomal RNA". It matches the Rfam family "Bacterial small subunit ribosomal RNA", at positions 525 to 775 of the family's 1533-position model. The record is from RNAcentral.